AUUGAACGCUGGCGGCAUGCCUUACACAUGCAAGUCGAACGGUAACGGGCCUUCGGGUGCCGACGAGUGGCGAACGGGUGCGUAAUACAUCGGAACGUGCCCGAUCGUGGGGGAUAACGAGGCGAAAGCUUUGCUAAUACCGCAUACGAUCUACGGAUGAAAGCAGGGGACCGCGAGGCCUUGCGCGGACGGAGCGGCCGAUGGCAGAUUAGGUAGUUGGUGGGAUAAAAGCUUACCAAGCCGACGAUCUGUAGCUGGUCUGAGAGGAUGAUCAGCCACACUGGGACUGAGACACGGCCCAGACUCCUACGGGAGGCAGCAGUGGGGAAUUUUGGACAAUGGGCGCAAGCCUGAUCCAGCCAUGCCGCGUGCAGGAUGAAGGCCUUCGGGUUGUAAACUGCUUUUGUACGGAACGAAAAGCCUUCUUUUAAUACAGGAGGGUCAUGACGGUACCGUAAGAAUAAGCACCGGCUAACUACGUG
This 482-nucleotide ribosomal RNA is filed under the name uncultured bacterium. Its description in RNAcentral is "partial 16S ribosomal RNA". It matches the Rfam family "Bacterial small subunit ribosomal RNA", at positions 30 to 507 of the family's 1533-position model. The record is from RNAcentral.